Molecule: ribosomal RNA, 253 nt
Filed under: uncultured bacterium
Lineage: Bacteria
Description: partial 16S ribosomal RNA
Rfam family: Bacterial small subunit ribosomal RNA
Source: RNAcentral
UACGAAGGGGGCUAGCGUUGCUCGGAAUCACUGGGCGUAAAGCGCACGUAGGCGGCUUGCUAAGUCAGGGGUGAAAUCCUGGAGCUCAACUCCAGAACUGCCUUUGAUACUGGCGAUCUUGAGUCCGGGAGAGGUGAGUGGAACUGCGAGUGUAGAGGUGAAAUUCGUAGAUAUUCGCAAGAACACCAGUGGCGAAGGCGGCUCACUGGCCCGGUACUGACGCUGAGGUGCGAAAGCGUGGGGAGCGAACAGG